Long non-coding RNA from Hippocampus zosterae (dwarf seahorse), 811 nucleotides. RefSeq lists it as uncharacterized. The record is from RefSeq and is a predicted model, not a curated record. The transcript has 3 exons. Lineage: Eukaryota; Metazoa; Chordata; Actinopteri; Syngnathiformes; Syngnathidae.
UAAAACUAUUUGCCCAUUGAGAUAUGUGGUGCACUCUGGAAUAGAGAUUUCAUGUUCACAUGUGCAUAAACUACGUCACAGGAAGUUUCAUUUCCAGUUUUAUGGUCACCAUAUUUCUAAUCUUUGCCAUCACCUGUACCAAUGACAUGAACAAUAAGCAAAUAUGACACACCCCCUAUGAGCUGAUUGCCCAAGGCAACAAUUAGUGGGGGCAAAGUGUCAGUGCAUUCCCCAUUUGCUGAAAACCAAAAUAAGGAUGCCUGCAUACUGUGCUAAAUAGAGACGGUGCCGUAUAAUCACAGCAGGGGAUAAUGGAAUCACAAAGGACGAGGAAGUAACCAACCAUAGGAUGAGGUUUGCCGCCUUUGUGUGCACAUCAUCAUGGGACUUCAGUUAUGGGCUCCAUGGUGUUGACUCAUGCUGUUUUUCAACUGCAGUGUCUCUUCAGCUAAUAACACACCUCCUGUCGCAGGACUCUCAGGUCAGGCGCUGCUCACCCACCUGUUGCUCAUCAAACAAGACAGCCGUCAUCGAUUCCUCACCAAAAUGUUUGGUGGGAAAAAAAAACCCCACACACACACUUGAAUGAAAAUUCACACUUACUUCCAUAGCGAGGCUUGUGUUGAGCAGUCGUUUCUUCAUUAUUCAUCCUGCCUCGUUUCCUUCCAGCGCUUGUCAACGCGCCGAUCAACCAACAACUCUUUAAGAUAAAGUCCAAACGCACGAUAAGGUGUGCCAGACGACUUAAACAAAGCUGAAUUAGAACUAUUUAUUAAACCAACAAAAGAAAACACUAAGAACAAGAACAGAA